GGCUAGGUCAGUGAGAGAUGUACCCCACAAAAGGUUAUUUACAUACCUGGCAAUUUCUCGGGUGACCUGAUGGAUUCGACAUGUCAGGAAACAAUAGGUGCGAUGAAACGUCUGUUUGUUUAUCUUUCACAGGUGCGGCGACUGAAGAAAUAUUGCAUGUAACCGUGUCAGCUGGGAACAAAGCCGUUCAUGUUCAGCCGGAAUGCUCCGAGGGGUGAACUCUUUAGGACAGGGCCGCUGAGGUUGUACCUGCUGUUGGAAGAAGGACACGACGUGGCUGUUGAGUUGGAGGAGGUCGUGUGCCAGAAGCAAGACCACCACUACUACGAGUCGUCCCCUGUGUAAUGUUCAACCAGACUUUCCGCUGCCAUCAUUUCCCCCUGGGAGAUUCUCCACCGUGGUACGGCCUAUAGAGGACCUACGUCAUCACUGACUCAUUCUUUUUCUGUGGGAGGACCUACCCCAGGAUAGGAGCAUUCGCAGUCGGAGUGUCCAAUAUUUGAACCAGUCCGGAGUUUGACUCAAGAGAAACAAACCUCCUGACGUUUUCUUCAAGGAUUCUUGAGUUUCGUACGGAAUCUGCCUUGAACCACAUGUGACGACUAUAAUUCCUUUCUUGAGACGUACCAAGUGGCUACCAUGUGGCAGUGCCAGCUCGCAUCCUUAUGGAUUUUCGAGUGACCCCUUGUUGCGUACAGCCACCGAUAUCGUGGACGCUGUGUGAUUUGGGUGCAUGAUUUAUAAAGUGUGUAAUGUUGUUCGUUCUUGUUGGUUCUGGGCGUUAGUGCUUAUAUUACUGGAACGUGCCGCUGUGCGUUCGUUGUCAUCGUGUAUGCGUGUGUUUACGUUCCGGUGCAAAUUAUUGUAAGUAAACCACGCAGACGGAAAAUUUGACCGACACAGUUUGAUGCAGAGGAGCUGGGAUAUCACAGCCACAGGUCGUGUUGAUAGAGACUACACUGUGGACUACUAGUGGAGGAACGUCAGACUACACUGUGGACUACUAGUGGAGGAACGACGAACCUCGAUCAAUAGUGCUAUGUACACUCAUGAGAAGUGCACAGACGGGAAUGACAUUGAACGACAGCCCACUCUGCCGGUAAGUCCCAUUUUGUUUA
Long non-coding RNA from Branchiostoma floridae (Florida lancelet), 1118 nucleotides. RefSeq lists it as uncharacterized. The record is from RefSeq and is a predicted model, not a curated record. Lineage: Eukaryota; Metazoa; Chordata; Leptocardii; Amphioxiformes; Branchiostomatidae. The transcript is spliced from 3 exons.